Molecule: non-coding RNA, 72 nt
Organism: Halocaridina rubra (Hawaiian volcano shrimp)
Lineage: Eukaryota; Metazoa; Arthropoda; Malacostraca; Decapoda; Atyidae
Source: the annotation of a GenBank genome assembly
GUUUUCGUGGCAGAGUGGUAACGCUUGCAAUUUUGAUUCGUAAGGUCGUGAGUUCGAGGUUCGCCAUGACCU